CCUACGGGGAGCAGCAGUGGGGGAUAUUGCACAAUGGGGGGAACCCUGAUGCAGCGCCGCCGCGUGGGUGAAGAAGCGCCUCGGCGCGUAAAGCCCUGUCAGCAGGGAAGAAAAUGACGGUCACUGACGAAGAAGCCCCGGCUAACUACGUGCCAGCAGCCGCGGUAAUACGUAGGGGGAAAGGGUUAUCCGGAUUUACUGGGUGUAAAGGGGGCGCAGACGGCGAUGCAAGCCAGGAGUGAAAGCCCGGGGCCCAACCCCGGGACUGCUCUUGGAACUGCGUGGCUGGAGUGCAGGAGGGGCAGGCGGAAUUCCUGGUGUAGCGGUGAAAUGCGUAGAUAUCAGGAGGAACACCGGUGGCGAAGGCGGCCUGCUGGACUGCAACUGACGUUGAGGCCCGAAAGCGUGGGGAGCAAACAGGAUUAGAUACCCCUGUAGUC
RNAcentral lists this ribosomal RNA (440 nucleotides) under uncultured bacterium. RNAcentral describes it as "partial 16S ribosomal RNA". It matches the Rfam family "Bacterial small subunit ribosomal RNA", at positions 338 to 795 of the family's 1533-position model. The record is from RNAcentral.